This 264-nucleotide long non-coding RNA is filed under the name Mytilus galloprovincialis (Mediterranean mussel). Lineage: Eukaryota; Metazoa; Mollusca; Bivalvia; Mytilida; Mytilidae. The record is from RNAcentral.
AGAAAGCACACAAACAAAAUAUUAAUACUGACUUCAAAGAUAAUCUGGUCUGGAUUUUAUCACCAGGUUAUGUGUACAGAAAGUUGCUGACUCUGCAGGUGACCUCAUAAAUUUGUUCAACAGAUGUAAACAAGUCCAGAGGCAAUUAGGGGAUUGCAUGUCAAUUCCAGAGGCAAUUAGGGGAUUACAUGUAGCUAUUCAUUUAGCAAGAAAUGAAAUACUUUUUUUUUACAAGAAAUCACAGAAAUUAAAAAAAAAAAAAAA